AAUUUUGUAGCUCAGAGGAAAGAGCGCUGCCGCCAAGGCAGAGGUCGCGGGUUAAAGUCCCGCCAAAG
This 68-nucleotide transfer RNA is filed under the name Rhizobiaceae bacterium. RNAcentral describes it as "tRNA-Trp". It matches the Rfam family "tRNA". Rfam says of the family: Transfer RNA (tRNA) molecules are approximately 80 nucleotides in length. Their secondary structure includes four short double-helical elements and three loops (D, anti-codon, and T loops). Further hydrogen bonds mediate the characteristic L-shaped molecular structure. tRNAs have two regions of fundamental functional importance: the anti-codon, which is responsible for specific mRNA codon recognition, and the 3' end, to which the tRNAs corresponding amino acid is attached (by aminoacyl-tRNA synthetases). tRNAs cope with the degeneracy of the genetic code in two manners: having more than one tRNA (with a specific anti-codon) for a particular amino acid; and 'wobble' base-pairing, i.e. permitting non-standard base-pairing at the 3rd anti-codon position. The record is from RNAcentral. Lineage: Bacteria; Pseudomonadati; Pseudomonadota; Alphaproteobacteria; Hyphomicrobiales; Rhizobiaceae.